Long non-coding RNA from Eriocheir sinensis (Chinese mitten crab), 446 nucleotides. RefSeq lists it as uncharacterized. The transcript has 3 exons. Lineage: Eukaryota; Metazoa; Arthropoda; Malacostraca; Decapoda; Varunidae. The record is from RefSeq and is a predicted model, not a curated record.
AUUAACACAUGCAGCCGUGAACACUUUUUGAAGCGGCGCUGUGGGAUUACUUGUGUGAGGAGAGGAAGGAAGCCGGCGUGUGGGAUGGGUUGAGGGUCCAACAUUGCCUCUUUCGUGUUCAAGCCGCCUGGCGCUCUCGUCUCAUCACUGGGAAGGACUACUGGCCAUGAGUGUAGCGUUGAGGAAGACUUGCUGCCCCCUCGCCCUCAAGGCUGGCCUGCAGCCUGAGUGGCCAGGAGCAGCGGAGCAGAUUGUCACUGGUGUGAGGACCAAGGCCUGAUGAGAAGGACCACCACCACCGUGCUGCUGCCUUCUCCAGCCAUAAAGGAAAGGGAAAGGUUGAGUGUCAGGACUGUAGGACAAUUUGAUAGGGGAGAGGAAGUUCAUCAGACACAGCCUUGCACACACUGGUUCAGGAAACCAUGAGAGCCAGGAGUGUGAGAAAA